AGAGUUUGAUCCUGGCUCAGGACGAACGCUGGCGGCGUGCUUAACACAUGCAAGUCGAGCGAUGAAGCUCCUUCGGGAGUGGAUUAGCGGCGGACGGGUGAGUAACACGUGGGUAACCUGCCUCAUAGAGGGGAAUAGCCUUCCGAAAGGAAGAUUAAUACCGCAUAAGAUUGUAGUUUCGCAUGAAACAGCAAUUAAAGGAGUAAUCCGCUAUGAGAUGGACCCGCGUCGCAUUAGCUAGUUGGUGAGGUAACGGCCCACCAAGGCGACGAUGCGUAGCCGACCUGAGAGGGUGAUCGGCCACAUUGGGACUGAGACACGGCCCAGACUCCUACGGGAGGCAGCAGUGGGGAAUAUUGCACAAUGGGGGAAACCCUGAUGCAGCAACGCCGCGUGAGUGAUGACGGUCUUCGGAUUGUAAAACUCUGUCUUUGGGGACGAUAAUGACGGUACCCAAGGAGGAAGCCACGGCUAACUACGUGCCAGCAGCCGCGGUAAU
Molecule: ribosomal RNA, 499 nt
Filed under: uncultured bacterium
Lineage: Bacteria
Description: bacterial SSU rRNA
Rfam family: Bacterial small subunit ribosomal RNA
Source: RNAcentral